Molecule: ribosomal RNA, 253 nt
Filed under: uncultured bacterium
Lineage: Bacteria
Description: partial 16S ribosomal RNA
Rfam family: Bacterial small subunit ribosomal RNA
Source: RNAcentral
UACGUAGGGUGCAAGCGUUAAUCGGAAUUACUGGGCGUAAAGGGUGCGCAGGCGGUUCUGUAAGUCAGAUGUGAAAUCCCCGGGCUUAACCUGGGAAUUGCGUUUGAAACUACAGAGCUGGAGUGUGGCAGAGGGGGGUGGAAUUCCAUGUGUAGCAGUGAAAUGCGUAGAGAUAUGGAAGAACAUCGAUGGCGAAGGCAACCCCCUGGGUUAACACUGACGCUCAUGCACGAAAGCGUGGGGAGCAAACAGG